Molecule: ribosomal RNA, 490 nt
Filed under: uncultured bacterium
Lineage: Bacteria
Description: partial 16S ribosomal RNA
Rfam family: Bacterial small subunit ribosomal RNA
Source: RNAcentral
GAUGAACGCUAGCUACAGGCUUAACACAUGCAAGUCGAGGGGAAACGAUGAGAGAGCUUGCUCUCUUAGGCGUCGACCGGCGCACGGGUGAGUAACGCGUAUCCAACCUACCCAUUACAGGGGGAUAACCUUGCGAAAGUAAGACUAAUACCCCAUGGCAUUUUAUGGUGGCAUCAUUAUAGGAUUAAAGAUUUAUUGGUAAUGGUUGGGGAUGCGUCUGAUUAGCUUGUUGGCGGGGUAACGGCCCACCAAGGCAACGAUCAGUAGGGGUUCUGAGAGGAAGGUCCCCCACAUUGGAACUGAGACACGGUCCAAACUCCUACGGGAGGCAGCAGUGAGGAAUAUUGGUCAAUGGGCGAGAGCUUGAACCAGCCAAGUAGCGUGCAGGAUGACGGCCCUAUGGGUUGUAAACUGCUUUUAUAGGGGAAUAAAGUGAGCUACGUGUAGUUUAUUGCAUGUACCCUAUGAAUAAGGACCGGCUAAUUCCGUG